This 274-nucleotide ribosomal RNA is filed under the name uncultured bacterium. Its description in RNAcentral is "partial 16S ribosomal RNA". It matches the Rfam family "Bacterial small subunit ribosomal RNA", at positions 523 to 796 of the family's 1533-position model. The record is from RNAcentral.
AUACGGAGGGUGCAAGCGUUACUCGGAAUCACUGGGCGUAAAGCGCGCGCAGGCGGCUAUUUAAGUUGGAUGUGAAAGCCUACGGCUCAACCGUAGAACUGCAUCCAAAACUAUUUAGCUAGAGUGUGGGAGAGGAAGAUGGAAUUAGUUGUGUAGGGGUAAAAUCCGUAGAGAUAACUAGGAAUACCAAAAGCGAAGGCAAUCUUCUGGAACAUUACUGACGCUGAGGCGCGAAAGCGUGGGGAGCAAACAGGAUUAGAAACCCUAGUAGUCC